This 253-nucleotide ribosomal RNA is filed under the name uncultured bacterium. RNAcentral describes it as "partial 16S ribosomal RNA". It matches the Rfam family "Bacterial small subunit ribosomal RNA", at positions 524 to 776 of the family's 1533-position model. The record is from RNAcentral.
GACGAACUGUCCAAACGUUGUUCGGAAUCACUGGGCUUAAAGGGCGCGUAGGCGGUCGAUCAAGUCAGGGGUGAAAUCCUGCAGCUUAACUGUAGAAGUGCCUUUGAUACUGGUCGUCUCGAGGGAGGUAGGGGUGUGUGGAACUUCCAGUGGAGCGGUGAAAUGCGUUGAUAUUGGAAGGAACGCCGGAGGCGAAAGCGACGCACUGGACCUCUUCUGACGCUGAGGCGCGAAAGCUAGGGGAGCAAACAGG